ACGAACGCUGGCGGCAUGCCUAACCCAUGCAAGUCGAACGAGACCUUCGGGUCUAGUGGCGCACGGGUGCGUAACGCGUGGGAAUCUGCCCUUCGGUUGGGAAUAACUGAGAGAAAUUUCAGCUAAUACCUUAUAAUGUCUUCGGACCAAAGAUUUAUCGCCGAGGGAUGAGCCCGCGUAGGAUUAGGUAGUUGGUGGGGUAAUGGCCUACCAAGCCGACGAUCCUUAGCUGGUCUGAGAGGAUGAUCAGCCACACUGGGACUGAGACACGGCCCAGACUCCUACGGGAGGCAGCAGUGGGGAAUAUUGGACAAUGGGCGAAAGCCUGAUCCAGCAAUGCCGCGUGAGUGAUGAAGGCCUUAGGGUUGUAAAGCUCUUUUACCCGGGAUGAUAAUGACAGUACCGGGAGAAUAAGCUCCGGCUAACUCCGUG
Molecule: ribosomal RNA, 432 nt
Filed under: uncultured bacterium
Lineage: Bacteria
Description: partial 16S ribosomal RNA
Rfam family: Bacterial small subunit ribosomal RNA
Source: RNAcentral